CAGUAGGAUAGGCGAAGCGUGCUGUUGGAGUGCACGUCCAAGCAGUGAGAUUGAGUGUUAGGCAAAUCCGGCACUCUUAAGAUUGAGCUGUGAUGGGGAGAGGAACUUGUUCCUCGAGUCGUUGAUUUCACACUGCCGAGAAAAGCCUCUAGCUAGAAUAACGGUGCCCGUACCGCAAACCGACACAGGUAGUCAAGAUGAGAAUUCUAAGGUGAGCGAGCGAACUCUCGUUAAGGAACUCGGCAAAAUGACCCCGUAACUUCGGGAGAAGGGGUGCUCUUUGAGGUUCACGCUUCGAAGAGCCGCAGUGAAUAGGCCCAAGCGACUGUUUAUCAAAAACACAGGUCUCUGCUAAACCGUAAGGUGACGUAUAGGGGCUGACGCCUGCCCGGUGCUGGAAGGUUAAGAGGAGUGGUUAGCGCAAGCGAAGCUACGAAUCGAAGCCCCAGUAAACGGCGGCCGUAACUAUAACGGUCCUAAGGUAGCGAAAUUCCUUGUCGGGUAAGUUCCGACCCGCACGAAAGGCGUAACGAUUUGGGCACUGUCUCAACGAGAGACUCGGUGAAAUCAUAGUACCGGUGAAGAUGCCGGUUACCCGCGACAGGACGGAAAGACCCCGUGGAGCUUUACUGUAGCCUGAUAUUGAAAUUCGGUACAGUUUGUACAGGAUAGGUAGGAGCCUUAGAAGCGUGAGCGCUAGCUUACGUGGAGGCAUUGGUGGGAUACUACCCUAAUUGUAUUGGAUUUCUAACCCGCAGCACUUAUCGUGCUGGGAGACAGUGUCAGGCGGGCAGUUUGACUGGGGCGGUCGCCUCCUAAAGAGUAACGGAGGCGCUCAAAGGUUCCCUCAGAAUGGUUGGAAAUCAUUCAUAGAGUGUAAAGGCAUAAGGGAGCUUGACUGCGAGACCUACAAGUCGAGCAGGGUCGAAAGACGGACUUAGUGAUCCGGUGGUUCCGCAUGGAAGGGCCAUCGCUCAACGGAUAAAAGCUACCCCGGGGAUAACAGGCUUAUCUCCCCCAAGAGUUCACAUCGACGGGGAGGUUUGGCACCUCGAUGUCGGCUCAUCGCAUCCUGGGGCUGUAGUCGGUCCCAAGGGUUGGGCUGUUCGCCCAUUAAAGCGGUACGCGAGCUGGGUUCAGAACGUCGUGAGACAGUUCGGUCCCUAUCCGUCGUGGGCGUAGGAAAUUUGAGAGGAGCUGUCCUUAGUACGAGAGGACCGGGAUGGACAUACCUCUGGUGUACCAGUUGUCGUGCCAACGGCAUAGCUGGGUAGCUAUGUAUGGACGGGAUAAGUGCUGAAAGCAUCUAAGCAUGAAGCCCCCCUCGAGAUGAGAUUUCCCAACUUCGGUUAUAAGAUCCCUCAAAGAUGAUGAGGUGAAUAGGUUCGAGGUGGAAGCGUAGCGAUACGUGGAGCUGACGAAUACUAAUCGAUCGAAGACUUAAUCAA
RNAcentral lists this ribosomal RNA (1448 nucleotides) under Staphylococcus pseudintermedius. RNAcentral describes it as "partial 23S ribosomal RNA". It matches the Rfam family "Bacterial large subunit ribosomal RNA", at positions 1475 to 2925 of the family's 2925-position model. Lineage: Bacteria; Bacillati; Bacillota; Bacilli; Caryophanales; Staphylococcaceae. The record is from RNAcentral.